CAGCCGCCACGGGAAUACAGAGGGUGCGAGCGUUAAUCGGAUUUACUGGGCGUAAAGCGUGCGUAGGCGGCUUUUUAAGUCGGAUGUGAAAUCCCUGAGCUUAACUUAGGAAUUGCAUUCGAUACUGGGAAGCUAGAGUAUGGGAGAGGAUGGUAGAAUUCCAGGUGUAGCGGUGAAAUGCGUAGAGAUCUGGAGGAAUACCGAUGGCGAAGGCAGCCAUCUGGCCUAAUACUGACGCUGAGGUACGAAAGCAUGGGGAGCAAACAGGAUUAGAUACCCGUGUAGUCCCUGUCUCUUAUCU
RNAcentral lists this ribosomal RNA (301 nucleotides) under uncultured bacterium. RNAcentral describes it as "partial 16S ribosomal RNA". It matches the Rfam family "Bacterial small subunit ribosomal RNA", at positions 509 to 809 of the family's 1533-position model. The record is from RNAcentral.